This 482-nucleotide ribosomal RNA is filed under the name uncultured Oscillospiraceae bacterium. RNAcentral describes it as "bacterial SSU rRNA". It matches the Rfam family "Bacterial small subunit ribosomal RNA", at positions 900 to 1382 of the family's 1533-position model. The record is from RNAcentral. Lineage: Bacteria; Bacillati; Bacillota; Clostridia; Eubacteriales; Oscillospiraceae.
CUUAAAGGAAGUUGACGGGGGCCCGCACAAGCAGUGGAGUAUGUGGUUUAAUUCGAAGCAACGCGAAGAACCUUACCAGGGCUUGACAUCCCUUGAAGCAGCUAGAGAUAGCUGUGUCCUUCGGGACAAGGAGACAGGUGGUGCGUGGUUGUCGUCAGCUCGUGUCGUGAGAUGUUGGGUUAAGUCCCGCAACGAGCGUAACCCCUGUGGUUAGUUGCCAGCAAGUAGCGUUGGGCACUCUAGCCAGACUGCCGGUGAUAAAUCGGAGGAAGGUGGGGACGACGUCAAAUCAUCAUGCCCUUUAUGUCCUGGGCUACACACGUACUACAAUGGCCGUUACAACGGGAAGCGAAGGAGCAAUCCGGAGCAAAUCCCUUAAAGGCGGUCCCAGUUCAGAUUGUGGGCUGAAACUCGCCCACAUGAAGGCGGAAUUGCUAGUAAUUGCAGAUCAGCAUGCUGCAGUGAAUACGUUCCCGGGCCUU